Molecule: unclassified non-coding RNA, 247 nt
Filed under: Hevea brasiliensis (rubber tree)
Lineage: Eukaryota; Viridiplantae; Streptophyta; Magnoliopsida; Malpighiales; Euphorbiaceae
Source: RNAcentral
UUCUUCUGGAGUUGUAUCAGGUUGACUAUAUAAGGGAUGGACACCUUUGAAAAAGAUGAGAUGCCGAUGUUAUCACCAUCAUAUCCACAGUCUGAUGGAAAUGACGCCUUUCAAAAUCGACGUUCUACGUACAGGACAAGGAGUGCAUCCCUGUCAAUGCCAAUGAGCUCUAUAGAUUCAUUUGAAAAUGAUAGUAGUUAUGUAGGCUAUACUGGUCCUUUGAGAAGUGAGAGGCGAACUUCAUUGG